Long non-coding RNA from Falco peregrinus (peregrine falcon), 10235 nucleotides. RefSeq lists it as uncharacterized. The transcript has 4 exons. The record is from RefSeq and is a predicted model, not a curated record. NCBI's taxonomy places the organism in Eukaryota, Metazoa, Chordata, Aves, Falconiformes, Falconidae.
CCUCGACCGAGGGCUUCAGUAGGCGCAGCCGCAGCGUGGGGCUUUAACCCUUGUUACUGUGGCAGUAAAACAGGGCCUCUGCUUGGGGCGCGUGGAGGGAAGCUGGAAAGGGACCUCCCAGCUUGUGAUACAGACUGGGCUUGUACCUCAUGCUGUUAAUGGGAGGCCUGAAGCCCCCCCUAGGGCUGCAUUAAUCCAUGGCUUUGGACAAUCUCCAGUGUGCUGGAGGACAGAGGUGGAGUAUUCUUGUUCUGGUGCUAUUUCCAUGUAAGCACCCUGAAGUGCAAGUACCGCCUGUGUUUUCAGUUUUCCACCCAAGAUGUGGGGUGAAAGGGACUUCUCAGGGACCUUAGAGAGUCAAAGAAACAUGUUUAUCCUCACAGCGCUCUUAGCUGAGCCUGUGGCCUUGUAGGGGUGAGACCUCUUUCCAGGUGAGGAACUGACAGACGUGGAGUGGGUCCACUAGGGGUGACCCAGGAAAUCUCUGGGGACCCAGGUGACUGAAUGCUUGUGGAUUACUGGCCAGCACUCAGUUCCUUGAUGCAGGGCCACAGAUCAAAAUGGGUUGGAAGAGAGUGUGACAGUCAUUUAGUCCAAUUUCCCUGUCCAUGUAAGAAUCAACUUGGCUUACAUCAUUCCUGAUAAAUGUUUGCCCAGCCUGAUUUAAAGGCUUCCAAUGCUGACAAGGACUUUUGCAUGCAAUCUGUUCUGGUGCUUUAUUGUUCUCUCUGCUAGAAACGUAUCCUUUGUACGUAGUCUUCCUUGCACCCAUUAAAGCUGAGUACUGCUGCCUCUGUCCUGAGGUGGAGAACAGCCAACUUUCUCCUUAGAGCAGCUUCCAAGUGGUAGUCUGUUCCCAUGCUCCCUUGCAGCCUUCAUUUCUGAGGAAAAGAACACCAAUAUUGUGUUGUUCCUGUAGGGCACUUGCGCAUCAUUCCCUCCCUGCUUGCAAGUUGUAAAGGGGGACCAGGUGGGCUGAAAGGUGGUGCACUUCAGAUGUGUUGCAGGUGAUUCUUGUGCCUAUGGUGUUUGAAAUAACAGAGCUGCUACAGCUCAUCUUAUUACAGGAGAGGAGUCAUUUCCCAAGCAGUGAAGACCAAGCCAAAACUUGCAUUAACAUUUUGUUUGGGCAAGUUUUCAAAAGCUGCAUUUAAGUUUUAAUAAACUACUGUUUCUCCUCCAGGUUGCAUCCAGAGGGACAAAUACCCAGUGAGAAAAGGCUUCUCUCUCACAGCCAAGAUGAUGAUGAGAUACCAAGAGAGACUUUAUCCAGUUUCGAGCCAAUUUCCUGUUCCAUAUAUGUUUUGAUAUGUUUUGAGUUACUUGUCAGAAGUUUCAGAUGUUCCUCCCUGUGAAGGGUCAUGUCACAGUCGUCCUCUGUUACUUUUGCAUGGCAUCUGCUUGCAGAUCUCAGCACGGUCCAUCGAGUCCCUGGUGAAUGCAGAAGGCUGCCUACAUGCUGCCAUCCGGCAGCCAUGGGAUCACAGCCAAGGCAUGCUCUGCAUUCAGGUGUUGCAAUUGGGACAGGUAGCAGAAGAUACUGUAGCCUCAAGGAUGUUCUACAAUGUGCCCUAGUUGCAGAAUCAGACCUCUAUCCAGCUUCCUCCUGCUUUGCGGUCAGCUCUUUGGUUGUGCCACAUGGGCUUAGGCUGAUGUGCCUGGAGUCAGAGUCUGCAUCUGAACUGUUCCCAAGAUUUGCCCUCUGGACGGGGCAGUCUUUUACAAGUGUGCCUGCAAGCGGGAGGUGGUGUCUUAUGGGGUACUGACCUGUGUGAGCCCCCUGCCCCUCUUUGAUCUUGCCUGUCUCUGCCACAGUGGCUCUGGCAGAACAGCCUUCUGAGGGUAGAAUGAAAGUACAAGCGGUUUGCUAAAUUGCCUGCUCAUGUUACUUGGGGUUUUUGAUCCCCUCCAGAGAGGGUGCAUAAGGGUUAUGUUACCCUCUAGGUAGAAGGAAUGGAGCAGUCCAAGGAACAUGCCAGUACCAAGAGAUGUGAUCGUGCUAACCUAUGUGUACUGUGCUGAGCUGAAUACCGUGAUGGUUUUCCUUCUGGGCUGAAUCUUGGGAUCAGGCUUUUGGGGAAUAUGGUGUGUGCAGAUGCACUGGAGUUUUUGCAAAAUCAGCUGUUUUCAAGGGUUUUGCUCUAGAGCAAACUGCUUUAGAUUGCUUUCUCUCAUGCCUGAGAAAAGAAAUUCACGUGCCUGUGGAUUUCACUGUGGGGACAGUGGGUAGUGAUGAAAAAGAAGGGAGAACCUGUUUGCAGCAGUUCCUACCUACAAGCAAGGCCUAAGUAGUUCCAGCUGAGCCCAGAAGUAGGUGUGACUAGCACUCUUCUCCAUCUGCUGUUGCUAGGUCAAAGGCAAAUAAACUGUCAUUCCAUUUCACUCCCUUUGGGAAGUUUAACACUGCAUUUGCUGGAAACUUGACAGUUGUUUCAUCCUAUUCUGGGAUUCACCAAACUCGGAUUCAGAUCCCUGCUGUGUGACAAACUGCCGGCCUGACCUAGGGUGUAUUAUUGUUCCCUGCUGUUACAGUUGGAAUAAUAUCCCUUCUCUGUCUUAGAGACCAUUGUAAGAGUACCUUAAUUAGAGGAUGUUGGGGGCUCAGUUACUUCAGAAAGGACUGGAUUAUGACUGUCCUAUGGCAAUCUCUUCUUCAAUUACAUCUGGAAAGAGCAAAGAAUGAGCCAACUCAUAUGAAAUCUGCCUCACAUGCUUCUUGGUGACAGGGCACACCACCCUGCUGCAGCAUGACAAAUCAGAUUUGUUUUGCUGAUUUCCAGUGCUGCCAGUGCAAAACCAAAGGAUGUGGGAGUAAGCCAAAGUACCAGAACUAGUUUUUCUGCAGCAAGCGUAUCUCUGAGCGUGAGAGCAUGAUGCACAGACAAACCAGCCUGCUGCAGAGUGCUGAGAAGGUGCAUCCUGUUCACAAAAGCAGCUGGUGUUUUUACAGUAUAUGAGCAUCUAAUAUAUUGCUAUUGCAGACAGGUGGAGACAAGUGCUGCCACGUUUUGUGGUCUCCAUGGUUUGUCUCCUUUAUGUGGUUGGUAUCAAAACUGUAGCUUUGUUUAAGUAGCAGCUUCUAGCUCUAAAGAUAUGCUUCAUCUUCACCCUCCACCAGCAGACCUGAAUGGUCACUCUUCUGUCUUGCUCAUCCUAGCAUUCUGGACCGAGUGAGCAUCAACGUGUCAUUUCAGUUGCAGCUACCUGGUCAGUGUUACCAUGAUAACCGUGACUACAGGAGCACAGCUACCACAGGGCAGAAGGCCUUGGAACAACCGUGUGAACAAACUGCUGCCUGGGGGGGAAGGGGCCUUGUCCCCAUUAAUUAUUUGCUCUGGGUUCAGCUUUCUUCAAAGGGCUACAUAAGGAGUCUCAGGCUUCACCCUUUCUUUUGUGACAGCUGGGUGGUCUGAGAUCGUCCUGUUCAUGGCAGGGAGCAUCGGGAGACACUGCUGGGAUUCUCAGCCAUCUAAAUAUCCAGGGCCAACAGGUGUGGUGAGAAACUGAGGCAUAACAAAAGAAGAGCCAUGGCAGAGUCACACGAAGAGUUCAAAUGCUUUUAAUGGGACUUACAGCUACCUAGCUCUAGCUGUACUUGUUUCUCCCUAUACUGGUUCUUUAAAUAGUAUAGCUAUCCCAGCUAUCACUUGAGGGGAUGACAGUGACUAGGAAGUCACUGUUAUUCCUUCCUGUUUGCAUAAGGAAAGGAUGGGAGAGUGUGACCACAGAGAUGUUCAGUUUCAAGAGCUUCAGUCUUGAGGUAGGACGCGAGGAUGAUUUUCACAGUUUGUGUUACUGGUCCAGCGAUUACUGAACACUGCAGGACCUGGAUGUAUGCAAAUGAUAGAUGUGAUGGAGGAGGAAGGCAAGGAUAAAAAAAACAUUACAUGAAGUUCAUCUAGAGAAGAUAAGAUUCCUGAGAAAGGGUGUGUUAAAAUGAAGCUGAGGUUUUAGGAGGGAUGGCUUGUGCUGCCACAUUCCUGCUUUGUCGCUCUGAAAUGAUAAGCAUGGGGCUGAGUCUCGAUAAGGACCAAGCUGUAUAUAGGAGACAAACUGAGUAUCUCUGCUUAAUGUAUGUACUUCAGAGAAUGAAUGGAACCCCUUCUCCAACGUGGAUGGCUUUCUGGUAGGCCACAGGCAAUGGGCCUGCAACAGUGGACAGAGCACAGGACUCUGAGGAGCCUUGUUGAUCGAGAGCAGAGCACUGCUCAGAGUAUGUCACAAAGAUGCCACUUGCCCAAGUUUCUAUAAACACCAGCCGCACAGUUAGGUAAUGAAUAUAUGGGAGGCAGAACUCUGCUUCUAGUGGGAUGUCUUCAGCAAUUCUUACAUGGGAGAUUUUGAUUUCCAUUUUGUGCUAGCUGUUGCCUACAGUUUUUGCUCCCCACAUGCUGCUGCUUCCUUUUUUGAUGGUUAACUUGUCUCCUGUGUUUUGUAUAUACGCUAUAGCAUGUGCACAGUGGGGCAUGCCCAUCAGCUUGAUAGCACAGUGCCUACUGCAGUGGAGUCCUUCCCUGGCAGCCUGAGCUGUACCCAGCAAUGCUGGUAGAAGAGGGGCUUCUGCCAUCAAAAUUCUCACUGUUUAUCUGAAAUACUCAUCCAAGACUGUCUAGAACAUGAACAGCAUUGCUUGGGUUGUUGAAAAGGGCUUGAAUUAUUAUGAAAUUCCUGGCCUCGCAUUUGGCUUAUGAUUAAUUACUUAGGUUUGCAUAGCGCUUUGGUGUUCUACCUGUAAAUCCAAAGUAAGCCGUUACAACUGUGUUGACCUCAGUGGAGUCAUACCGCUUGCUCCAGCUGGGUUGAAUUUGGCUCACCUGGUAGUAUGUGGUAUUUGCAUUCUGUGAAACAAGUGUCCAAUCACUGAUCAAAGCCUUUCCAGGGACUGGAGGCUGCUAAGCUGAUAAAUCUUUCCUCCUUUUGCAUACUGCUCUGCCACUUACCUGGGAAUGACCUUCUCACCAUACCUUUUGACUCUGAGCUUGCUGCGUCUCUGCAGUCCUUCUCUGAGCCUUUGCAGUUCAUGGUGUGUUUGUGUUGCCAUAGAACUUAGAAGCUUUUCUCACAGGUUACUCCAUCUCUUUCAAAGCUUUCAGUACUCCAUUCCCCUGCCAGCAUCUUGUUGCAUAACUCUCCCCCUGCCAAUGUUGCUGGCUUGCAUGGGUGAAAUACUUUAUGCUAGAUAAUUUGGAGUAACCUUGUGACAAAAAAAUCCUAAUCUAAAAGGCAGUUUAGUCUUGCAUUGUCCUUCAUGUGAUUUUACUGCUGAUGGGUUUUGCUGGGGUGGGAGUCAUGGUGCUGGCAUCUGGUUUCUUUGCUUGAGAAGAGCAGAUUAAGAUCAUACUGUGCUCAAACAAGGCUUCUUCAUUUAAUGUGUAUGGGCAGUGGGCACUCAGGCUGAAAGUAGAUUUUGUACUUUAACUUCCAGGUCAGUGAGUUUUUUGUCUCAUUUGUGUCAGCAGACAGUAACCCUUUGUUCAGCAUCACAGUAUUUUCCACCUCAGCAACACUCACUCACACACAGACACAGACACACACACAUGUGAUGCAGAUCCUGAAUUGUGCAAUAAACCCCAUGGUAAGUUCCAUAAACCCAGCAGGUAUAUCAAUCUGUUCUGCUUCAGGGCUUGAUUGUGUGCCCUAUUGACCAGCAAUAAAGCCAAGAGUAUGGAGGUAGUUAGUUAUUCAUUUGUUUUGGCUUUUCCAUCCGUCAUUGCCUAUGUGGGAAAGAAAAGGUGCAUAAAUAAUUUGAGUGAAAAUUUUGUCUUUGAAGAGGUAGCCUUUGUAACUUGUGAAAGCUGGAUAACUCAGUAAAAUUAGUUAAGUAUUAAAUAAAUUAUUUAAUUUAGUAAUUAAGUAAUUUUGUUACUAAGUAGUGCCAGGAUUAAGGCCAAGGUAGGUCAUGAGCAUGAAAGAUCAUGAGUCACAAGCACAAAAAUUAAGAGGUGAAUGCAUCUGAAUGAGUGCCCUGUAGCCUGUUGGUGAUGUCCUGAUUAGCAAAUAACUGCUUGAAGUCCUGCCUUUGCCAUGGUUGGUAGUUUCUGGAAACCUCCUUUGCUGAUGCACAGCCUGGAGAAGCAAGAAGGGCGGCACCAUCCUGCUGCUGGCACGCCUUUCCCGAGCAUCCCUCUCGGAGGUGCAGGCGUGUGCCAGGAGAGCCUCAAGCAUCCAUUUCUGGGUAGCAGUGUGCGUCCCACACAGGAGUGUGACCCUUCUCCCUCUCGAGGCCUGACCUGCUGCUUUUCUGCAGACAGUGGCCAGAAGAGUGAAGGCAACCCGCUUUGCUCUUCGAGUCUGGCAGCGCCUUACUUCCAAAACUCUGCUCAGCCCUGGAGUGCUCUCACACCCAGCUGUGCCUGACCUCCUGUAACCUCGCUGUUUGUGCUGUGGAUCCCUACAGAAUUCCCUCUGUCCUGAUCCUCUUGGACUUUGUCCUCAGAAAAAAAUCCUGCUUAGGCUUCUCGGAAUUAACACACAUUAGCUGAGCUCAGAAUUGCCAUUUCCUGGGAAGUUCUGACACUAACAAGAAGUCCCUUGCUUACAAUGUAACAAAAGUCUGGCACUGACAUUACAACACCCAGGAAUUGCCUUCAUCUAGAAAAGCAGUUUCAAUGGUGUGGAUGGAGCCAAAGUGGUGGACAAGUCUGGGCAGAAUCCUCUAUCAGCUGUGAAUUUCACUCAAGGCUCUUCGCCUCUGUGUGCCCUGUGCUGCUGCAUGUCCUGUGUUGUGUCCCCCACAUGCACUCGCUUGAGACAUUCCUUCGGACAGUUAACAUAAAAGGUGUCUUUGUUUCCAGAGAAAUACAACACAGUCCUCAACAUGAGAGUGUCACAGCACUGCUGGAGCUGCUGGUGAUGGUGAAGGCAGCAGCCACCGCCUCCCACAUCACUGAGGGGAGAAGCGGAAGAAGACUGAAGUCAUGAGCACUUCCCUCCUGAUCUUCCUCCUUCUCUGUGUUUUACGUGAACAGUGACACUUCAGGCAUGCACAUAAAUUUGUUGUAAACUGAUCUGCACCUGGUGAUAGCUGCACUCCACCUUCUCAAACUGCUGAGUUUCAAGUAUGGGACAAGCAGCAGGAAGGAAGGAUUUGGGGGGGAAGUAGAUUAGAGAUAAACUGAAAACAGCUUCACAAUGCUUUGUGAGCGAGAGCCAUGCCCAGUUCCAUGACUCUGCAUUUCUAAGAAGACCAUAUAGGUUUGGAGUAAGGUUUUUGUAAAAGCACCAGUAAAACUGAAUCUACAGAGACACUUCUUGGCCAUGCAAUAUAUGGCAAAACCUCACUUUUUUUGGUAUUUUCUAGAAAAGAACGUUCUUCCUUUUUCCAUACUUCAAAUCACAUUUCAGAAGCAGGAUAUCUACUUGGCAUUCAUGGUAUUGGAUCCUCAUUUCUUAAUUUCUAUUAAUAGGUCGGAAGGCAAACCUAAUAAAAGUGAUUGCCAGCCCUUAUCUUCACCAAGCACCCUUGAUCACAGGGACUGCAUUUUCAGUGGCUUUCACUGAGGAUGUGAAUGUACUGUUAUACCUGGAGAUCACUGGUGAGGAAACCUCUGAGUUCUUUUUUAAGUGCUACUUGAGCUACACCUGUAGGUGUUGAGGGCUGCAUUUUUAAAGAUAUUUAGGUGUCCUAAUGUCAUGGUCCUCACAAAUGUCUAGCUACCUGCCUUCUUGGGGGAAGGAGAUUCCUGAUCCAUUUCCCCCCUUUUUGAGCAAGAAGGAUUAUAAAGUAGAUCCUUCCCUGUACUGAACCUAAUAUAAUAGCUCAUGCUGUGCAAAGAGGGUGUUACACGGGACUGUUGGCAGAGCAUUCUCUCUCAGGUGCAUUCUUAUACCCACUGUUCACUGAGCCGAAAAUGUCUGUGACCAAUGUUAAGUCAAGUCAGUCCUGCACCGCUCACUACCCACUUACUCCUCAGAAUUUGAAUACUGUAAUCCAAAUUCCAAGUCUCUUUGAACUUCUUUUCUCCUGGAAAAUUUUUCUGGAAAACCCUUUGGGAAAGGUUUUUAAAACAAAGAAAACUUGUUUUGUUCCUUGCAUGGAAAUACUUUUUUUUUUUUUUUCAUUUUAUAUACCUGCUUUGGAGAGGAAAUUAGGAAUUGGCUACAAGACUGGGAAGGAAGGGAGAAAUAGCAAAGCUGUUACACAGGGAAAUGUACUCCUGAUUCAUUGCAGAGUUGUUCAAGGGCUGUACCAGUUCAUAGUUCAGCCUUCCAAAAGGUAUGACUGUGUGAAUUUGUCAGUAGGUUUCUGUUAUUGAGCCACCGUGGAUUUCUCUGAAGCAGAGCCCAUGUGCUCGAGAUGAGGUUUGCCACUGUGCUUGCUCUCUGCUGCCUGACACUUUCUGGCACCUUGAAGCCAAAGGAGACCAGACCCCAUGCAGUCACUGUGGAGAUUUUUCCACUGCAGCCAGAGCGGGGCCAUGCUUACACUUCUCCUCGUUUUCUUCUAUAUACCUGCCUUAUGCCCCUCUCUCACCCUACUGCAGCUGAAGGAGUACAGUGGAACAGAGGAGGGGGUUAGAAUUUCUCAUAGACCCACUGGUGUCCUGAACAACUUUGUACAUAGGUUGAAGAAAGAAGAGACACUGCUGUGCCCAAACAAAGAAGCUCCAAGCACAGGGACAGGACAGCAGAGGUAUCGGCAAGUAAUGGCAGACUAAAACUUUUUAUGCAAGUUCCAUUUGCAAGAGGGAUUAAAAGAGUUUGCUGGGGUGAGAACAUGUUGGAAAAGGUAUGCUGACAUGAAAAAGUCAGCCCUUUAAUGGGGCAAAGUAAGUAUUUGAAAAUUAGUGCUUGUAAGACAGAAAGUAGAGACAUGGUGGAGGAUCAGGACUGAACAGAGUAAAGCAUUAGUACCACAGCUGCCAUGAGGAAAAAGACAAAUAUAUAAAAUAUGGGAUGUCCAGCUGGCAGUCUGUGUGAAGUCUUGAGACAAACAGCAAAUGAACUUCCCUGUGCCUUGGCAAGCAGCGUUUCAGAAAGCCUUGGAAAGCAAGAAAGUUCAAGAGAAUCAGAUGUCUGAUAUCAUUUAGUGUUAGCUUUGCAGUUACUUUGCUGAUAAGCUAAACUUUGUAACACAGUACAAAUAGCACAAGGAAAAGUGUCAAGCUGCUCUCCCUUCCAUCAGCCACAUCCCGUGACUCCCACGGGAGCUUGGUCUGAAUAGGAGGGAAAGUAUGGAGGCCAGGAUAUACAAAAUCCUACAGGAUAACGAAAACUGAGCAAUAAAUGAUCACAGAAAAAGGUAUUAAGAGACAGUCAUUUACACAUCUGGCUACGUAACCGGUUAUUAAUGGUGAAGGGAAGCAGUAAAGCUUCAGAUAAAGGUUUCACAAAACCCAAGUUGAAAAAUUAAUUCCCUUUUGCUGUGGCUACAGGAACUGCAGCGGUAGACUAAAGAUGAGAGUGAAAAGAAACCUACUUGAGUAGUAGGAAAGUAUUAGUAAGCAUGAGCUCUGCUUGUCUGUGGAACAGAUUUUGGGGAAAAAUGGCAGAAAAAUCCCUGUGCUUUGGUCAUUUAAAGCAGACAAGGCACAUGUGCCUCUCAGGAAAAUCCGCUGAGCACGGGAGGGACAGGUAACACUGACAUGGCUCAGGCUGAAACAAAUGCUGACACUUUCCAGAUACGUAGCCUGUGUGAAAGCGCUGGAUGAUUCCCGCAGACCAGGUAUCUACACGUGCUGGUGACCUGAGCCCAUCACAGAGACGCUGAAGAGCCAACACAUGGGUACGAGGCACCGGUGCCGGAGAAGGGGCUCGGACAUUGCCUGUUCUGGACAGCGGUGGUAGCCGCAUUCUACAGAACGCAAGCCUGCCUGCCUGGACAUGCAUUUAAUCUUACCCGUAACAGCAAUAGGAAAAAAUUAAAUUAUGUGGUUAGCAUAACUGCUUACUUAGAAAUAGACCAAGCCAUGUGAGCCCGGGGAGGUUUGUUCCCAGCGGACCCGGGCGGGGGGCCCUGCGGGGGGCCCGGCUCGCACCGCUCGCUCCCGCUGCUGCUCGGCUUCGCUCCCCCAGCGGCUUUGGCUACCGCCCCGGUUCUCAGCGGUAGGAAGCGCGGAAAUCGGGAACACUUUAUGGCCCCAUGGUUUGGGCUGUGGCACCUAAAAGGUACAGCCGGGACCCCCGCGCUCGGGCAGCCCCUGGCCGCGUCCACCGCGGUCACAGCCGGCUGGGCACAGCGGCUGGUGUCCCUGAUCACCGGCAGCGGGCACACAGUAACAGAAGACUGCAAAGGC